RNAcentral lists this transfer RNA (72 nucleotides) under Pangasianodon hypophthalmus (striped catfish). It matches the Rfam family "tRNA". Rfam says of the family: Transfer RNA (tRNA) molecules are approximately 80 nucleotides in length. Lineage: Eukaryota; Metazoa; Chordata; Actinopteri; Siluriformes; Pangasiidae. The record is from Rfam by way of RNAcentral.
UCCCUGGAGGACUAGUGGUUAGGCCAUAGCGCUCUCAACACCGCAGUCUGGGUUCGAUUCCCGGCCAGUGAA